This is a long non-coding RNA of Nymphaea colorata (pocket water lily), 2922 nucleotides long. RefSeq lists it as uncharacterized. Lineage: Eukaryota; Viridiplantae; Streptophyta; Magnoliopsida; Nymphaeales; Nymphaeaceae. The record is from RefSeq and is a predicted model, not a curated record. The transcript is spliced from 4 exons.
UCUGCCAUCUUCCCUCUCUUCGGGUUCACCCCAUCCCCUCUCGUUUUUAUACUUUCCCCACCUAAAAGCACCCAAGAUUCUCCAUCUUGAUCAGUGCCGAUGAAAAUCUUGUUGUCAGCGACGGGAAUCGCCAACAUCAUGAUGCCCAAACGGAUCCACAGUGUGCAGCCAUUAAAAUCGGCUACCAAUCUGCCGACGGAUUUCCCCUGCUCGGCGUGCAUCGCCAGAAUCUGGAGUCCAGCUGAACGAUUUUUAUACCCAACAACGUCAAGAAUCCCAACAAAGGAACGACAGAAACAACGCACCCAUCGAUUCUCUCUGUUCUCUCAACCGUGCAGCCAUUGAAUCCGGUCGCCGCCCAUUGAAUCCGGUCGCCGCCGGGCCGACGGCCAAUAUGCUCCAUCCCAGACGUGCGACCCGAACGACCAAGUUUUCUUGGCAUUCCAGCAAAUUCAUGGAGGACUCUUUCCUUGCCAAACGCCACCUGCCGAGCGGCCGGAGACUGUGACACCACAAUAGCACGGAGGACUCUGGAAUCUGCCUUCGAAGGCGAGCGAAGCAUCUCGGACGAUCGUCUUCGGUUCUUUUCUCGGCCAGCUGAGGACGUCCUGGUCAACCAUUUGUCAAUCAAAUGGCUGUGUUGCACGUCUUGGUCAACCAUUUGUCAAUCAAAUGGCUGUGUCCAACAAGAUGCAAAACACGAUAUAGACUGACCUGAUCUUGGCGUGAUUUUUUAACAAUGAAAAGUCCACUUGAACUGGUCGACAUAAUCUCGUUUAUCCUUGAUAUUGAGAUCUCCAAACUAGCAUCUCCGUAAUUCGGACCAGUCAGUUUUGUUGGCGUUUGAUAAUGUUUUUGAAGAAUCCAAACAGAUGGAUGCAUGGAUUCUAUGUGUCCAGAAACAAUCAAAAUCAAUAGUGUCAGCUUUCUCACCCCACAAGGUCAAGGUAAAAUCUAAUCUAAAGGUGAGCAGGGUGAGGACCAUCUCAUAUGGUGCCAAUUUCAGAUGGGCUCAAACUUUAAAUAAGGAUGUCUCAGGUAAUUUCUUGGCCAUUUAACUUGAUCAUCUUUGUCUUAGCCAUAAUGUUUGUAUAUAGUUCAACAUUCUUGUUGGGAAUAUGUAUCCUUUGAACCAUCCAAUUGUUUAUAAAUUUAUAUUGAUGGCAUGCUGACAUUGCAAAGCACCUUCCUACUAAAAGACUCACCACUGUAUCAUUUCAUGGUGACAAUCUUCUACAUCAGGAAGCCCUAGCUCAUUUGUAGACUGUAUUUUCAAGUCCUUUUGUUUUCUAAGAUCUAACAGUUUUAGGGUAGUAGACACAUGCAGCCCGAUGCCAUUACCAUGUUGGCAAAAAGUUAAGAAGUGAGGGAAAAAGGCUGAGAGGCCGAGUUCCUCCAGCUGGCUGGAGGCCUCUGACGCAUGAAGCGCAAUGCCAUUGGCUGUGUGUAUUAGCGGCCAGAUGGUCAUAUAUGGGCAGAUCUAUGCUGUGAUGGAUGUUGUCUGAUCAUUAGAAAUUAAAAAUCUGUCACUAAAAGCACUAUUAAUGGUUACUAAAACAUUAUGAACCAUCGUUUCAUCGUAAACCAUCAUACAUGCUCAUGUGCAAAUAUUUUUUAGUCACACGCGCUCAAAGAGCAUGUAAAUAUAUUAUUCAAUGAUGUUGAUCGGAUAACAUUUUUCCAGCUAUGGAAGGAGAGAAAAUGAUUCUUAUAGCAUUCACAAGAGAGGGGGGAGAGAACCAAAUGUUGUCACAAGUGUCUUGUGGCUUAUUAAAUAUUCUAAUAUAUUUGUUGAUUAGUUUCUAAAUAAAAAAGAAGAUUUUAUCUUUUCUUUUGUUUGGGUCCAUAAUUACGAAUCCAAUUUUAGUUUAUAUGAUGGUGCUUAGGGGCUGAGAUGAAUUUUAAUGAAACCCAAAUCUUCUUUAGUUUUUUCCUUCGUAUAGUUAUUUUGGUUUAGUUUUUUGCAUUGAUCUUUAUUCUUUUUAAUAUGUUCUUUUUAGCACUGCAACUUGUAUCAAAGUUUAGGUUUUUCUUUCCUUAUCCUAUUAAUCAUAGUGGCAUACAAUUUGAGGAAGAGUCCUGAAAGCUAGUCGAGAAGUGUUGGGAGAUCACAUUUCUUUACUAACAAAGUCAAUGAACAUGACGCAAGAAAAUAUGCAAUCAAUGUUCAACAACAUGCAAGAGUGUUCAAGAGAAUACGAUUGUGGUGCAAGACAAAAUGCAGUUGAUGGCUGAUUCUGUGGGGAGUCCGGAUGCAAUAUGCAAAAUGAACAACUAGAAUAACAAGCAUGUACAAGCAUGUUGAGGCGAGAGAAAACUCAGGUGCGGGAAAGAUAUUGUGGAAAAACUUAAAAAGAAUAGUGGAGGAUCAGGUUGAGGGUGUGGAUGAAGGAAGGGAACAAAGAACUAAGGGUGAGGGAGGGAGCAAAACAACCAGUUCCUCAACUCACCAAUAAGAAUGGGAAGGAGAAGGUAGAACAAUUGAUUGCCCAAACUAACCACCACUUUACAUGGAACAACUGUUGGACCAGAAAAAAGAUGCAACCAUUGAUGGGUGGUGGCUGGAUGGAUUGAAUCCUGGUGGGCAUGGCUGGACUUAUGCAAAAAAACAAGGGCAAACAGACUUUAUUUUAACCCCCCAGGUCAUGCGAGUCCGGUCUGGGCUCGCUUUUAUGACCCUAGGUUGAAGCUCGGCCAUAGGUGGCGGCACUACGUUGCAGCCAUGCUUGGGCACAAGCCACACCCAGAACACCGAGCUGGCCUUUCUUCGCCUCCAUGACGGCCUUAGAUCCCACUGUUGGGUUUGGGGCUUUGGGCAGAUGGGUUUGCCGAAGGUGUGAGAGUUGGCUCUAGGGGUGGGCAUCGGGCUGGGUCGGCCCGUCGGUCCCUUAACCCUGGCCUGGCCUGAUGGGGGAAAGAAGG